ACAGCAUUUGAUCUCUGAUUAUAGAGGUAAAGAAGAAAGAAAAUGAAACAUACUCAAGAUUUAAGAAAGAGGGAACGAGCAGUACCAUUCACUGAUUUGGCAAGUCAAGAAAAGCCACUGAGUGGUAUUCAGUUAAGAGAACAGUUAUUUCAUAUAAGCCACAUCAGAGACGACUGAAGAUGAAAAAACUACCAUCCCCGUAUAUAACUAGUUUGUGCUGUGCACCAACAAGAACCUGCUUUAAAUUUCCAUGGCAAUUUACAACCCCCAUACUGUACCAGGCAAGGUACCAGCAUCAAGAUGAUUUAUGGUAAU
Molecule: long non-coding RNA, 315 nt
Filed under: Pan troglodytes (chimpanzee)
Lineage: Eukaryota; Metazoa; Chordata; Mammalia; Primates; Hominidae
Description: long non-coding RNA NONPTRT005074
Source: RNAcentral